CCGGCGACGGGUGAGUAACGCGUAUGCAACUUACCUAUCAGGAGGGGAUAACCCGGCGAAAGUCGGACUAAUACCGCAUGAAGCAGGGGCCCCGCAUGGGGAUAUUUGCUAAAGAUUCAUCGCUGAUAGAUAGGCAUGCGUUCCAUUAGGCAGUUGGCGGGGUAACGGCCCACCAAGCCGACGAUGGAUAGGGGUUCUGAGAGGAAGGUCCCCCACAUUGGUACUGAGACACGGACCAA
RNAcentral lists this ribosomal RNA (239 nucleotides) under uncultured bacterium. Its description in RNAcentral is "partial 16S ribosomal RNA". It matches the Rfam family "Bacterial small subunit ribosomal RNA", at positions 102 to 334 of the family's 1533-position model. The record is from RNAcentral.